UGGGGAAUUUUGGACAAUGGGCGAAAGCCUGAUCCAGCAAUGCCGCGUGUGUGAAGAAGGCCUUCGGGUUGUAAGCACUUUUGUCCGGAAAGAAAUCCUUGGCUCUAAUACAGUCGGGGGAUGACGGUACCGGAAGAAUAAGCACCGGCUAACUACGUGCCAGCAGCCGCGGUAAUACGUAGGGUGCAAGCGUUAAUCGGAAUUACUGGGCGUAAAGCGUGCGCAGGCGGUUUGCUAAGACCGAUGUGAAAUCCCCGGGCUCAACCUGGGAACUGCAUUGGUGACUGGCAGGCUAGAGUAUGGCAGAGGGGGGUUAGAAUUCCACGUGUAGCAGUGAAAUGCGUAGAGAUGUGGAGGAAUACCGAUGGCGAAGGCAGCCCCCUGGGGCCAAAUACUGACGCUCAUGCACGAAAGCGUGGGGAGCAAACAGGAUUAGAUACCCUGGUAGUCCACGCCCUAAACGAUGUCAACUAGUUGUUGGGGACUUCAUUUCCUUAGUAACGUAGCUAACGCGUGAAGUUGACCGCCUGGGGAGUAC
Molecule: ribosomal RNA, 538 nt
Filed under: uncultured bacterium
Lineage: Bacteria
Description: partial 16S ribosomal RNA
Rfam family: Bacterial small subunit ribosomal RNA
Source: RNAcentral